CCAUUAGAUGUUCGGGGCCGCACGCGCGCUACACUGAAGGAAUCAGCACGUCUUUCUCCUUGUCCGAAAGGACUGGGUAACCCGCUGAACCUCCUUCGUGCUAGGGAUUGGGGCUUGUAAUUCUUCCCCAUGAACGAGGAAUUCCCAGUAAGCGCGAGUCAUAAGCUCGCGUUGAUUACGUCCCUGCCCUUUGUACACACCGCCCGUCGCUACUACCGAUUGGAUGGUUUAGUGAGAUCCUCGGAUUGGUCCCGGAGCGGCCUCUGGUCGUGCCGGAGUGCCGAAAAGAAUGUCGAACUUGAUCAUCUAGAGGAAGUAAAAGUCGUAACA
This 330-nucleotide ribosomal RNA is filed under the name uncultured eukaryote. RNAcentral's name for it is "partial 18S ribosomal RNA". It matches the Rfam family "Eukaryotic small subunit ribosomal RNA", at positions 1470 to 1796 of the family's 1831-position model. The record is from RNAcentral.